UUUUGAUUAUCGUGUGAAAAUGUGCACGAGAAAGACAGCGGAGUGGAAGGAGGAACUUUCUGGAACCAAGGAGGAGACGGAGUCACAACUUCUCCAAGUGGACGCUGUGUUCCGACCGCCUCGAGAUGCGCGGAGCGGAGCAGAUGUCGCUGAAGAAGGUCUCGGUCCUGAGCAGCAGAAGCCCGAGCCUCCUCACGUGAAAGAGGAAGAGGAGGAGGCCGAUAUCACCCGGUUCCCAGUGGCGGCUGGCGUUGUGAAGCGGGAAGACGAUGAAGAGCGAGACGCCAUUGAAGGUCUUCGUCCUGAGCGUCAGGAGCCAGAGCGCACGCACUUUAAAGAAGAGGAUGAUAUCGCAAAGUUUCCCUUGAUUGGUGUCAUUGUGAAGCGGGACGAAGGCGAUGACGGAUCCCAAUCAGGUGGCCUCAUAGCUCCGCUGUCAGAUAGUGACGACAUAACGUCGCACUCCCCUGACACUGUUGUUGCAGAUGAUGAUGAAUACGCUCAAGGUGUUUUGACACGUCACACUCACAACAAACUUGUUAAAUGCUCUCAUUGUGACAAAACCUUUUACAAGUCGUCACUGAAAAGACACAAAAGAACACACACCGGAGAAAAACCUUUCGCAUGCUCAGUUUGUGGUAAAAGAUUCUCGAUCAAAACAAAUUUAGCAAGGCACACAAAAACACACACUGGAGAGAAACCUUUUUUCUGCUCAGUUUGCGGCAAACGAUUCUCUUUAAAAACAAAUUUAACAACGCACGCAAGGACACACACGGGGGAGAAACCUUUUGCUUGCUUAGUUUGUGGAAAAGGAUUCUCGAUAAAGACAAAUUUAACAACGCACAUGAGAACUCAUGCUGGAGAGAAGCCAUUUGCCUGCUCAUUUUGUGCUAAAAGAUUCACUCAAAAGGAGCAUUUAAUAGUGCACACUAGAACACACACUGGGGAGAAGCCCUUUGUCUGCUCAGUUUGCAGCUUAAGUUUCAGUGAAGGUUCAACAUUGGUUCAACACAUGCGUACACACACUGGGGAGAAACCCUAUUCCUGCUCAGUAUGCAGUAAAAGUUUCUCUACAAAGACCAAUUUAACAACACACACACGGACACACGCUGGUGAGAAUUCUUUUUCCUGCGAAGUUUGUGGUAAAAGAUUCAUUCGAGAGGGACAUUUAAUCGCACAUACAAAAACACACACUGGGGAGGAACACGGUUCCUGCGAAGUUUGUGGUAAACAAUUCUCUCAAAGGGCAAGUUUGACAAGACACGCAAGAACACACAGUGGUGAGAAACCUUUUGCCUGUUCCGUGUGUGGCAAAAGAUUCUCCAGAAAGGCGCAUUUAAGAACACACACAAGAACACACACUGGGGAGAAACCCUUUUCCUGCUCAGUUUGCGGCCAAAGAUUCUCCUUAAAGACAAAUUUAACGAUACACAUAAGAAGGCACACUGGUGAGAAACCUUUCAGUUGUAGUGCAUGUGAUAAAAGAUUCGCUCAUAAGUGCCAGGUCACGAAACACAAGUGCGCCGGCGGGCAGGGCAACGCUCAAAGAAUAAACCGAAGAACCUGAGGCUAUGUUCGGAAAUAACUGACUCAUUCCCUAAUCACUAUGUCCCAAUUUCUUAUUUUGUUAUAGUGGACAACAGAUUCCACUAAAACUAUAGAUUUCACAAAGUGACAGUCUUCGCAAUCCUUGGCUCAUUCCCUACUCCCUAAUCGCUAUUUUUGAAAUGCUAUAUAGUGGUCUGUCAAAUAAAAAAUGAGAACAUGUUUUCGACUAGCACACAUGUAAGCAUUAAGCUAGCGGACCUUUGUUAUACAACAUAUCUUUUGGAUGAACAUUAUGGUGAUUAAAUAUACAAAGAUGAAUUUUCUUUUUCUUACUGCAUGUGUCAGUAACAGUAAAGCUCUACUGGAAGUUCCAAACCGCUCGAAGCAAGCACACUUUGUCUCUAAUCGGAGAACUAUGCGAGUGGGACAAGAAGAACGGGUGCGAAUGAAUACUUUCAAAAAAGUUCGAAUGCGGUGUCAAAUAAAAUAAAUAUUGUCGAAAUGGUCUGUACAUUGUGACAAUCUCCAGUGCUACCCUGUAAAGAGCAUAUGAUUGUUUAAUACUAUUGAAAGAAAAUCCAUAAAAUAAGACUGAAUUGGAAAAUGUAAUGAAAACAUCAGCUAGAUUGAAUGCACUGAUCAUAAAUUGAUAUCUGAAGAUGUGUACAAAUUUAAUCUCAUCCGAAUAUUCUGUUAGUGAUUAACGUUACAAAAGAUGCAAAAAUAAUAUAGUAUAAAUACAAGCAGCACAUCGACUGUCCUACCAGGGAAAAUAACAUUUUGGACCACUGCUAUACGACGUUAAAAAACGCAUGCCGUGCCAAACUUCGUGCAGCACUGGGCUCGUCCGAUCACUGCUUAAUUCACUUAAUACCGACGUACAGGCAAGAACUUAAAAGUGCGAAGCCUACGGUGAAAACAGUGAAAAAGUGGACCACUGAAGUAAAGAUGGAACUUCGAAGGUGCUUAGACUGCACAGACUGGAGUGUCUUUGAAAAUUCAGCCGGCAGCCUGGCUGAAUAUACGGACACUGUCACAUCCUAUAUCAGUUUCUGUGAAGAGGUUUGCGUACCAACAAAGUCAUUUCGCACAUUCAAUAAGGCAUCCGAAUCAGAUGCCCCAGCCACCUCAUCUGGCUGGUAAAUCGAGAGCUUCGCCUUUCAGCUUAGCUUCUUCUUCACAACAACUGCCACGUCGGACCGGCAUCUUCCUCCACUAUCGGAGCCAACUCACAACCAGGUGGUGAUCAGUUGACAGCUCCGCCCCUCUCUUCACCCGAGUGUCCAAGACAUGCGGCCGCAAGUCCGAUGGCACGACCACAAAGUCGAUCCUCGAACUGCGACCUAGGGUGUCUUGGUGCCAAGUGCACGUGUGGACACCCUUAUGCUUGAACAUGGUGUUCGUUAUGGACAAUCCGUGGUGAGCACAGAAGUCCAAUAUCAGAACACCGCUCGAGUUCUGACCCUUCCAGGUCUCACUGUCAUUGCCCACGUGAGCAUUGAAGUCCCC
Phyllopteryx taeniolatus (common seadragon) is the source of this 3057-nucleotide RNA transcript. It is a transcript of the gene named gastrula zinc finger protein XlCGF57.1-like, with no coding region annotated. The transcript is spliced from 4 exons. The record is from RefSeq and is a predicted model, not a curated record. Lineage: Eukaryota; Metazoa; Chordata; Actinopteri; Syngnathiformes; Syngnathidae.